AACGGUCUAUACCUGCGGUACCUGCGGAGGGAUCAUUACCAAAAUUGUCCUCGAUAAUGGAUAAUUUUAUCCAUAUCCACCUUGUGUGCAUCACUGACAUGUUUGUUGGCAGGUUUAAAAGCUCUCCUAUAUUGGACUGCUGUGGGUAAUGACAUUCAGUCUGCGCUCGGCCUGCCAAUUUUAUUAUUUACAAUUAAACUUGUCUAAAUACACUGGUCUGAAAUACAUACUUUAUAAUAA
Molecule: unclassified non-coding RNA, 240 nt
Filed under: soil metagenome
Description: partial contains 5.8S ribosomal RNA, internal transcribed spacer 2, and large subunit ribosomal RNA
Source: RNAcentral